CCUACGGGUGGCAGCAGUGGGGAAUAUUGGGCAAUGGGCGCAAGCCUGACCCAGCCACGUCGCGUGAAGGAAGAAGGCCCUCGGGUUGUAAACUUCUUUUUAGAGGGAAGAGCAGAAGACGGUACCUCUUGAAUAAGCCACGGCUAACUACGUGCCAGCAGCCGCGGUAAUACGCAGGUGGCAAGCGUUGUCCGGAUUUACUGGGUGUAAAGGGCGUGCAGGCGGGAAGACAAGUCAGGUGUGAAAUCCCGCGGCUCAACCGCCGAACUGCAUUUGAAACUGUUUUUCUUGAGUACCGGAGAGGUCAUCGGAAUGCCUGGUGUAGCGGUGAAAUGCGUAGAUAUAAGGAAGAACACCAGUGGCGAAGGCGGAUGACUGGACGGCAACUGACGGUGAGGCGCGAAAGCGUGGGGAUCAAACAGGAUUAGAUACCCGUGUAGUC
RNAcentral lists this ribosomal RNA (442 nucleotides) under uncultured bacterium. Its description in RNAcentral is "partial 16S ribosomal RNA". It matches the Rfam family "Bacterial small subunit ribosomal RNA", at positions 338 to 795 of the family's 1533-position model. The record is from RNAcentral.